This 464-nucleotide ribosomal RNA is filed under the name uncultured bacterium. Its description in RNAcentral is "partial 16S ribosomal RNA". It matches the Rfam family "Bacterial small subunit ribosomal RNA", at positions 339 to 795 of the family's 1533-position model. The record is from RNAcentral.
CUACGGGCCGCUGCAGUGGGGAAUAUUGCACAAUGGGCGCAAGCCUGAUGCAGCCAUGCCGCGUGUAUGAAGAAGGCCUUCGGGUUGUAAAGUACUUUCAGCGGGGAGGAAGGGAGUAAAGUUAAUACCUUUGCUCAUUGACGUUACCCGCAGAAGAAGCACCGGCUAACUCCGUGCCAGCAGCCGCGGUAAUACGGAGGGUGCAAGCGUCAAUCGGAAUUACUGGGCGUAAAGCGCACGCAGGCGGUUUGUUAAGUCAGAUGUGAAAUCCCCGGGCUCAACCUGGGAACUGCAUCUGAUACUGGCAAGCUUGAGUCUCGUAGAGGGGGGUAGAAUUCCAGGUGUAGCGGUGAAAUGCGUAGAGAUCUGGAGGAAUACCGGUGGCGAAGGCGGCCCCCUGGACGAAGACUGACGCUCAGGUGCGAAAGCGUGGGGAGCAAACAGGAUUAGAUACCCCGGUAGUC